This 396-nucleotide ribosomal RNA is filed under the name uncultured bacterium. RNAcentral describes it as "bacterial SSU rRNA". It matches the Rfam family "Bacterial small subunit ribosomal RNA", at positions 358 to 771 of the family's 1533-position model. The record is from RNAcentral.
GGAAUAUUGGACAAUGGGCGAAAGCCUGAUCCAGCAAUGCCGCGUGAGUGAUGAAGGCCCUAGGGUUGUAAAGCUCUUUUACCCGAGAUGAUAAUGACAGUAUCGGGAGAAUAAGCCCCGGCUGACUCCGUGCCAGCAGCCGCGGUAAUACGGAGGGAGCUAGCGUUGUUCGGAAUUACUGGGCGUAAAGCGCACGUAGUCGGCUUUGUAAGUUAGAGGUGAAAGCCCGGAGCUCAACUCCGGAAUUGCCUUUAAGACUGCAUCGCUUGAACAUCGGAGAGGUAAGUGGAAUUCCGAGUGUAGAGGUGAAAUUCGUAGAUAUUCGGAAGAACACCAGUGGCGAAGGCGACUUACUGGACGAUUGUUGACGCUGAGGUGCGAAAGCGUGGGGAGCAA